UGAGGAACAUGACCUUCGGCGGGGGAUAGCCGGCCCAACGGCCGGGUAAUACCGCGUACGACCACAUGGGGACAUCCCUGAGUGGUGAAAGCAGCAAUGCGCCGAUGGAGUGCCUCGCGGCCUAUCAGCUAGUUGGUGAGGUAACGGCUCACCAAGGCGACGACGGGUAGCUGGUCUGAGAGGAUGGCCAGCCCACAUUGGGACUGAGACACGGCCCAGACCUCUACGGGAG
Molecule: ribosomal RNA, 232 nt
Filed under: uncultured bacterium
Lineage: Bacteria
Description: partial 16S ribosomal RNA
Rfam family: Bacterial small subunit ribosomal RNA
Source: RNAcentral